UACGUAGGGUGCAAGCGUUGUCCGGAAUUAUUGGGCGUAAAGAGCUCGUAGGCGGCUCGUCGCGUCGGCUGUGAAAACCCGGGGCUCAACCUCGGGUCUGCAGUCGAUACGAGCAAACUAGAGUGUUGCAGGGGAGACUGGAAUUCCUGGUGUAGCGGUGAAAUGCGCAGAUAUCAGGAGGAACACCGGUGGCGAAGGCGGGUCUCUGGGCAACAACUGACGCUGAGGAGCGAAAGCGUGGGGAGCGAACAGG
RNAcentral lists this ribosomal RNA (253 nucleotides) under uncultured bacterium. RNAcentral's name for it is "partial 16S ribosomal RNA". It matches the Rfam family "Bacterial small subunit ribosomal RNA", at positions 524 to 776 of the family's 1533-position model. The record is from RNAcentral.